UCGUUCUCCUCCGACGAUCGCUCCCCAAGGAUUUCGUACCCUCGUCCUUCGAUACCAUGCAGUAUUUCCUGUUCAAGAAUCCCGUGGUUUGGAGAUGUGCAAUGGCGUGGAGCUUUACAUAACUCAGUGAGCCAUGAUCGACCAAGCAAAGAGGAAGAGAUUGGAAGGUGAAAACUUUUGGUCCGUAUCGUUCUCUAAUUAUCUUCGUUUCUUUCCUGGCAUACAUUGCCGGUAUGUGAUUUAGAUUAGGAAUUGUAGGAGGCUCUGCUUUGAAUCCGCCAUUAAAGAUUCGUUACUGAUCCUCGUUCUUUUUUCUUUUCUUUGUUCGUCUGAGGGAGUUCUUGAUGCUUAUUCCUAAGAUCUUGCCAGCAUUGGUCUCAGAUGAAGCGAUAUGCCCUAAUAAUCCCACAUCGAGAUGGGUAUGAGGCGUGUAUCACCUCUACGGCCAUUGAGCAUGUGAUGAAGAGUGGAUUCAAGAAGCUUAAUGAGGGUGUCCUGGAUGAUGAACAAAAAGCACCAGAUCAAGAUUAGGACCCUUCUCCUCCCAAGAAGCUUAGCAGAUCAUGGCUACAUUGAACUGUAGAUCGCAGAUAGUGGUCAAGAAGCGAGAAAGGAAUUGCUGGGUAGUAAGGAGAAGCGUUCUGAAAUGUUUUGUCUCCUUAUGUUCUCUAACUAUCCCUUUUUCUCAUUCCACGCAUACAGUUUAAUUGUUAUGUGUUCGUAAAUUAAGAACUGUGAGAGGCUCUGUUCUGAAAUCUACAUCAGAGCACUGGUCUCAGAUGAAGUGUGCUAUGCUCUAACGUACCCAUGUCGAGAUUGAGAGUACGAAGGGAACAUCUUAGAUGGAAGAAGUAGGACAUUGGCAACAUCAUCGCAAUGCUACUCCCAGUUUAGUUGUGAAGAAAAGCGUUUGGUCGUUGUUUUUGGCAACAACAUCGCAAUGCUACUCCCAGUUUAGUUGUGAAGAAAAGGGUUUGACUUUUGAAUGGGGCCCAUGGGUUGGGAUGUACCAAAGCAAGGAAAUGGUAACCAAAUGGCACGAGGUAUAUUGAUGGGCAGAGAUGGUAGUAUUGCAUGGGAUCGAGGGAUGGGAUGAUGUGGUGCAUGAGACUUCAACAAUGCACCGAGUAUAUGGAUCUUUUACGCUCCUUGUCCUAGUCGAAUUCGGCAAUAGAUUGAUGACGCAUGAUGACUUAUGCUGGAGAUAACCCCCAGACCCCAGUCCUAGUUGAACUCGGCAAAUGAUAUUAAGUCGAAGUCCGCGGGAAUGUCCGUCACACCGCCGACUCCUAGCCACUAUUUUAGUUUAAACUCAGGAGCGAAGCACUUUGACGCCGAAUUCUACAGAUGGCAUCGAAGUCGGGGCGGAAAAGUCCCGCCAAUUGCAUUUCAUCGCCAUGACGUCAUCCACCAUAACGGUCGACUGCACCAGAUCAAGGCUAUGAAUAGGAGCCCACCCUUCGACUCCCGAGAGCCUCGUUCCCCUCCGGCGAUGGCUCCCCGAAGAUUUCGUACCCUAGUCCUUUGAUACCAUGCAUUAUCCCCUGUUCAAGAAUCCGUGGGUUGGAGAUGUGCAAUGGCGUCGAGCUUCAGAUGCCGAGGUCCAACGUUGCUGCUCGGAUUCGGCCAAUCGGUUCUUGGCUAAACCGAAGGCCUCCACAGUUGCGGCUGUGGCCGCCUCCUCGCCUCUGAGAUCGUGGUGGAGAUUGUGGAUUCAAGAGGCCAAACGAGAGCAUCAUCGAGCAUUGAGCGGAAGCACCGGAUCGAGCUCUAGAUCCUCGUUCCCGGCAUAGCUUGGCCGAUCAUGGCUACACUGAGUCAGGGAUUGCCGAUAGCGUCCAAGCAAAGAGAAGAGAUUGGAAGCCUGAGGGAGUUCUUGAUGCUUACUGCUAAGAUCUUGCCAGCAUUGGUCUCAGAUGAAGUGCAAUAUGCCCUAAUAAUCCCACAUCGAGAUUGAGGGUGUGAGGGUGAGAUCUUAGUUAGAUAUAAUAUUAAAGAUCUUAGAUGUAAUAUUAAUGUUAACUGAAUACCUCGCUAUUCUGAAUCUAAAAAUGAUACUAUGAUAUGCUUGAUAUAUGAGCGUAUCACCUCCACGGCCUUUUAGCAUGUGAUGAAGAGUGGAUUCAAGAAGCUUAAUGAGGGUGUACUGGACGAUGAACAAAGCACCAGAUCAAGAUUAGGACGCUUCUCCUCCAAAAAAGCUUAGCAGAUCAUGACUACACCGAACUGUAGAUUGCUGAUAGUGGUCAAGAAGUGAGAAAGGAAGGAAUUGCUGGGUAGUAAGGAGAAGCGUUCUGAAAGGAACUGUGAGAGGCUCUGCUCUGAAUUCUACAUCAGAGAUGAAGUGUGCUAUGCUCGAAUGAACCCGUGUCGAGAUUGAGAGUGAAGGGAAUAUCUUAGGUAUAAUUUAAAUCAUAUUAGGUAUAAUACUUAAUCUAACUAAAUACGUUCUUACGAUCUGUCUUCUAAAAUGAUAUGAUGAUAAAAAUUGCUAUCACUGUAUGAUCAUUAGUAAGAAAUAUGUAGCAGUAUACAAAAUCUCCCACUUGUAUAACCGUCAGAUGGAAAAAGUAGGACAUUGGCAAGAACAUCGCAAUGCUACUCCCAGUUGGGUUGUGAAGAAAAGAGGCUGGUCGCUCUUAGUGCAGACUUUUGAAUGGGGCCCAUGGGUUGGGAUGUGCCAAGGCAAGGAAAUGACAAUCUAAUGGCACGAGCUUUUGUUGGACGCAUGUUUAAUUUAUGAGAUAGAAUGCUAUUAUCAUUGCAAAACAACACGAUGUCGGAGGCUUCAAGACUUAAGUAGGGGUGGAUAGUUGUAAAACUUGGUAAGUAAAUUGGGUGACGAUGAGGAGAAGAGCUUCUGAAACUUUUUGGUUCGUAUUAUCCUUUGACUGUUUUGUUUGCAUUUUAGCCAUACUUACCUUCUUGUGUUUUUGUAUUAGGAAUUCUGGAAGGCUCUGAUCUGAAUCCACUGUAAAAGUUUUUUUUCCUGAUUCUUUUAUUUAUUCUUUUUCUUUCUUUUUUGUUCUUUUGAGGGAUUUCUUGGUGCUCGUUAUUAAGAUUUUGCUGCAGGCAUUGGUCUUGGAUGAGGUGUGUUAUGCCCUAAUAAUCUCACAGCGAGUGUGUGCGAAGGAAACAUCUUUGAAAAUGUGGGAUAUUGGUGUGAGCAACCUGAUCCUAUUCACAGGAAAUGGCUUGAUCACUCGUUUUAUGCACAAACUUUUGAUGGCCGAUGCAUUGGAGUGUGACAAAGCAAUCCAAUGGCAUGAGCUUGAAGAAUAACCUUACUGAAAGUCGGAAAAGAACUAAUGUGCAAAUGAAGACUUUAUAGUUUUAUCUUAUCGAAAAUUCAAAAGCAUCAAUGCCCAGAUGAAGGGUGAUAAUAAAGAACAGGAGAUCUUUGGUCGACAACACCAAAUGGGAGGAGCCUGGAAAAUGUUGCCCGUCAAAAGUUGUAAAACUUUGUAAGUUGGUUCAUAAGUCAAGCAAGUUCGAAAUAAAUUGACUAAACUGGACUGAAUUUAGUAAUUAAGAAAAUUAAUAUAUAACAUCAUAGGGAUUUAGCAAUGUUCUGUUGAGUCAAACACAGGUUAGAGAGUGACAUCUUUAAACUGGCUAGAGCUUACAGAAUUAAUAUUCGGAUAAAGUUGUUUUAAAAAUCAAUAGCAUCAAUGCUUAAAAACUUUUACCCUGUUUGAAACUAGAGUUUCUAUUUCCUGGGUUCUAGAAAUUUUUGCUUUCUAUCAUACAAAAAGCUCUAAAUAACUUUUUUUGGGAAAUAAAUGACUAGUUCACAAUCAAAUGGUAUUACAGUCCAUUUUAAAUAAACCUUUCAAUAUCUUCUUUUUUUUUUUUUUAAGUGACAUUCUACCGACUUUUGGUUCUCUUGAUUAUGCUAAAUUUAUUAAUUAAAUUCAACACUUUAUAUUCAGCAGGAAUUUUGUUAAAUUCAACUGUUUUGAAUAAUUUUCCAGCUGAUGAGAUUAUGAAUUUGGUUGAUUUGAAUCAAAUAGCUAAAGGGGAUCAUAUUUUAAUUAGUAACCACUUCAAA
Molecule: long non-coding RNA, 4051 nt
Organism: Ananas comosus (pineapple)
Lineage: Eukaryota; Viridiplantae; Streptophyta; Magnoliopsida; Poales; Bromeliaceae
Exons: 18
Source: RefSeq, a predicted model, not a curated record